GACGAACGCUGGCGGCGUGCUUAACACAUGCAAGUCGAACGCUGAAGCUCAGCUUUUGUUGGGUGGAUGAGUGGCGAACGGGUGAGUAACACGUGAGUAACCUGCCCCCUUCUUUGGGAUAACGCCCGGAAACGGGUGCUAAUACUGGAUAUUCACUGGUCUUCGCAUGGGGGUUGGUGGAAAGGGUUUUUCUGGUGGGGGAUGGGCUCGCGGCCUAUCAGCUUGUUGGUGGGGUGAUGGCCUACCAAGGCUUUGACGGGUAGCCGGCCUGAGAGGGUGACCGGUCACAUUGGGACUGAGAUACGGCCCAGACUCCUACGGGAGGCGGCAGUGGGGAAGAUUGCACAAUGGGCGCAAGCCUGAUGCAGCGACGCCGCGUGAGGGAUGGAGGCCUUCGGGUUGUGAACCUCUUUCGCUCAUGGUCAAGCCGCAACAAUGGUUGUGGUGAGGGUAGUGGGUAAAGAAGCGCCGGCUAACUACGUG
This 483-nucleotide ribosomal RNA is filed under the name uncultured bacterium. RNAcentral describes it as "partial 16S ribosomal RNA". It matches the Rfam family "Bacterial small subunit ribosomal RNA", at positions 28 to 507 of the family's 1533-position model. The record is from RNAcentral.